UUCUAACCGUAAACGAUGCCAACUAGCGAUCUGUGGGGCAUAUUUACAUGACCCCACAGGAAGCUUCCGGGAAACCAAAGUCUUUGGGUUCCGGGGGAAGUAUGGUUGCAAAGCUGAAACUUAAAGGAAUUGACGGAAGGGCACCACCAGGAGUGGAGCCUGCGGCUUAAUUUGACUCAACGCGGGAAAACUCACCCGGCCCGGACACCGUAAGGAUUGACAGAUUGAGAGCUCUUUCUUGAUUCGGUGGGUGGUGGUGCAUGGCCGUUCUUAGUUGGUGGAGUGAUUUGUCUGGUUAAUUCCGAUAACGAACGAGACUCUAGCCUACUAAAUAGUGGCUGAAUUUUUAGUUCAGCAUACUUCUUAGAGGGACAAGGGGUAUCUAGCCCCACGAGAUUGAGCAAUAACAGGUCUGUGAUGCCCUUAGAUGUCCGGGGCUGCACGCGCGCUACACUGAAGGAGUCAACAUGCAUUGAUACCUAGUCUGGAAAGACCGGGUAACCCAAUGAAACUCCUUCGUGAUUGGGAUAGGGAAUUGUAAUUAUUUCCCUUGAACGAGGAAUUCCUAGUAAAUGCGGGUCAUCAUCUCGCGUUG
This 595-nucleotide ribosomal RNA is filed under the name cf. Alaimus sp. 802U-030. RNAcentral's name for it is "SSU rRNA". It matches the Rfam family "Eukaryotic small subunit ribosomal RNA", at positions 1024 to 1643 of the family's 1831-position model. Lineage: Eukaryota; Metazoa; Nematoda; Enoplea; Enoplida; Alaimidae. The record is from RNAcentral.